This 583-nucleotide ribosomal RNA is filed under the name uncultured bacterium. RNAcentral's name for it is "bacterial SSU rRNA". It matches the Rfam family "Bacterial small subunit ribosomal RNA", at positions 338 to 916 of the family's 1533-position model. The record is from RNAcentral.
CCUACGGGAGGCAGCAGUGGGGUAAUUUUGGACAAUGGGCGAAAGCCUGAUCCAGCAAUGCCGCGUGCAGGAAGAAGGCCUUCGGGUUGUAAACUGCUUUUGUACGGAACGAAACGGUCUGCUUUAAUACAGUGGGCUAAUGACGGUACCGUAAGAAUAAGCACCGGCUAACUACGUGCCAGCAGCCGCGGUAAUACGUAGGGUGCGAGCGUUAAUCGGAAUUACUGGGCGUAAAGCGUGCGCAGGCGGUUAUAUAAGACAGUUGUGAAAUCCCCGGGCUCAACCUGGGAAUUGCAUCUGUGACUGUAUAGCUAGAGUACGGUAGAGGGGGAUGGAAUUCCGCGUGUAGCAGUGAAAUGCGUAGAUAUGCGGAGGAACACCGAUGGCGAAGGCAAUCCCCUGGACCUGUACUGACGCUCAUGCACGAAAGCGUGGGGAGCAAACAGGAUUAGAUACCCUGGUAGUCCACGCCCUAAACGAUGUCAACUGGUUGUUGGGUGCAUUAGUACUCAGUAACGAAGCUAACGCGUGAAGUUGACCGCCUGGGGAUCGGCCGCAAGGUUGAAACUUAAGGAAUUGACGG